GGAGAUGGUAGUAUGGCUGUGUGUGGUAGGGCUGGGAUAUAGGAUGGAGAUGGUGGUAUUGCUGUGUGUGGUAGGGCUGGGUUAGAGGAUGGAGAUGGCAGUAUGGCUGUGUGGUAGGGCUGGGAUAGAGGAUGGAGAUGGUAGUAUGGCUGUGUGUGGUAGGGCUGGGAUAGAGGAUGGAGAUGGUAGUAUGUCUGGGAUAGAGGAUGGAGAUGGUAGUAUGGCUGUGUGUGGUAGGGCUGGGUUAGAGGAUGGAGAUGGUAGUAUGGCUGUGUGUGGUAGGUCUGGGAUAGAGGAUGGAGAUGGUAGUAUGGCUGUGUGUGGUAGGGCUGGGAUAGAGGAUGGAGAUGGUAGUAUGGCUGUGUGUGGUAGGGCUGGGAUAGAGGAUGGAGAUGGUAGUAUGGCUGUGUGUGGUAGGGCUGGGAUAGAGGAUGGAGAUGGUAGUAUGGCUGUGUGUGGUAGGUCUGGGAUAGAGGAUGGAGACGGUAGUAUGGCUGUGUGUGGUAGGGCUGCGAUAGAGGAUGGAGAAGUCCAGCCUUAGAGAGAGAGAGUGUUUGUGUGUGUUUACUGUUAAGUCCAGCCUUAGAGAGAGAGAAGAGAGUGUUUGUGUGUGUUUACUGUUAAGUCCAGCCUUAGAGAGAAAGAGAAGAGAGAGAGAGAGAAGAGAGAGUGUUUGUGUGUGUUUACUGUUAAGUCCAGCCUUAGAGAGAGAGAGAAGAGAGAGUGUUUGUGUGUGUUUACUGUUAAGUAAUGUUUAUGUAAGAUGUCUCCCCGCCUCUUCGAUGGGAUUGAGAGGCUUGUUGAAGAUUUAUCAGCAAAGACAGGCAAUAAAGAGAUGAUGUCCUUAUAACACGGACCUUAUAUAAGGAGCUCUCUCUCUUUGUUUGUCUGUCUCUGUCUCUGUCUUUCCCUCUAUGGCCUUGAGUGGAAUAUGCAGACAACGUCUAUGCAGAUAACGUCUAGGCAGUCAAAAGUUAUAUUGGAGAUGUACUGUAUAUCAUAAAGGCAGAAGUUUUCCUCUUGAUGCUGUCCACAGUGUUGUUAUGUGUGGUGAUGAAUGUUGAAUCGUUGUGUACAUUUUGUGUGUGUAAUGUACAGUAACUGAUGUGUUUGCAUAAAGGUGUGUGUUUAUGUGUGUGUAUGUGCUUAAGGGUAUAUGUGGUUGAUUGGGAUCUGUACAUGAUAUGUAUUCG
Oncorhynchus tshawytscha (Chinook salmon) is the source of this 1193-nucleotide long non-coding RNA. Lineage: Eukaryota; Metazoa; Chordata; Actinopteri; Salmoniformes; Salmonidae. The record is from Ensembl.